CAAUAGCGUAUAUUAAAGUUGUUGCAGUUAAAAAGCUCGUAGUUGAAUUUCUGUACAGUCCCAGUUCUGGCUUCUGUCAAGCUGUGGAUUGUGCAUCCGCUUGCAAACCUAGACCGGCCUUCACUGGUCGACUAGGGGAGUAAGCCCUUUACUUUGAAAAAAUUAGAGUGUUUCAGGCAGGCAAAUGGCUCGAAUACAUUAGCAUGGAAUAAUGGAAUAGGACUUUUGUCCAUUUGGUUGGUUAUUGGAUGAGAGUAAUGAUUAACAGGGACAGUUGGGGGCAUUAGUAUUUAAUAGUCAGAGGUGAAAUUCUUGGAUUUAAUUAAAGACUAACUUAUGCGAAAAGCAUUUGCCAAGGAUGUUUUCAUUAAAUCAAGAACGAAAGUU
This 387-nucleotide ribosomal RNA is filed under the name uncultured eukaryote. RNAcentral's name for it is "SSU rRNA". It matches the Rfam family "Eukaryotic small subunit ribosomal RNA", at positions 592 to 991 of the family's 1831-position model. The record is from RNAcentral.